RNAcentral lists this small RNA (200 nucleotides) under Streptomyces sp. ERV7. RNAcentral describes it as "Actinobacteria sRNA Ms_IGR-5". It matches the Rfam family "Actinobacteria sRNA Ms_IGR-5". The record is from Rfam by way of RNAcentral. Lineage: Bacteria; Bacillati; Actinomycetota; Actinomycetes; Kitasatosporales; Streptomycetaceae.
ACACGAGAAGGGAGGUGGUUCGGCAGAUGUAUGGAUACCGGACGCGUGAGGUGACUGCGGGCUAGCGCCUGCCAGUCGCACACUUUGUGUGGUGCCGGCACGACGCCGGCCGCAAUUCCCAGCAGUCACCGACCCGCGGGCUCGCCGGUACGUCCGGCCGGCUCCUCUCCGGAGGAACCCGAGCCCGCGGGUUUCUGCAU